UACGUAGGGGGCAAGCGUUGUCCGGAAUUAUUGGGCGUAAAGAGCGUGUAGGCGGCCCGACCAGUCCGCUGUGAAAGUCCAGGGCUCAACCCUGGAAUGCCGGUGGAUACUGUCGGGCUAGAGUCCGGAAUGGGCGAGUGGAAUUCCUGGUGUAGCGGUGAAAUGCGCAGAUAUCAGGAGGAACACCAAUUGCGAAGGCAGCUUGCUACACGGAUAUUGACUCUGAGGCACGAAAGCGUGGGGAUCAAACAGG
Molecule: ribosomal RNA, 253 nt
Filed under: uncultured bacterium
Lineage: Bacteria
Description: partial 16S ribosomal RNA
Rfam family: Bacterial small subunit ribosomal RNA
Source: RNAcentral